AAGUCGAACGAAGUAGCAAUACUUAGUGGCAGACGGGUGAGUAACAUGUAGGUAUCUGCCCUUUGGCCUGGAAUAACACGAGGAAACUUGUGCUAAUACCGGAUAAGUCUUUACGGAGAAAGCUUUAUGCACCAUUGGAUGAGCCUGCACUUGAUUAGUUUGUUGGUGGGGUAAUGGCCUACCAAGACUGUGAUCAAUAGCUGAUUUGAGAGGAUGAUCAGCCACAUUGGGACUGAGACACGGCCCAAACUCCUACGGGAGGCAGCAGUGGGGAAUCUUGCACAAUGGAGGAAACUCUGAUGCAGCGAUGCCGCGUGAGUGAAGAAGGCCCUUGGGUUGUAAAGCUCUUUCGUCGGGGAAGAAAAUGACUGUACCCGAAUAAGAAGGUCCGGCUAACUUCGUGCCAGCAGCCGCGGUAAUACGAAGGGACCUAGCGUAGUUCGGAAUUACUGGGCUUAAAGAGUUCGUAGGUGGUUGAAAAAGUUAGUGGUGAAAUCCCAGAGCUUAACUCUGGAACUGCCAUUAAAACUUUUCAGCUAGAGUAUGAUAGAGGAAAGCAGAAUUUCUAGUGUAGAGGUGAAAUUCGUAGAUAUUAGAAAGAAUACCAAUUGCGAAGGCAGCUUUCUGGAUCAUUACUGACACUGAGGAACGAAAGCAUGGGUAGCGAAGAGGAUUAGAUACCCUCGUAGUCCAUGCCGUAAACGAUGUGUGUUAGACGUUGGAAAUUUAUUUUCAGUGUCGCAGCGAAAGCGAUAAACACACCGCCUGGGGAGUACGACCGCAAGGUUAAAACUCAAAUGAAUUGACGGGGACCCGCACAAGUAGUGGAGCAUGUGGUUUAAUUCGAAGAUACGCGCAGAACCUUACCAACACUUGACAUGUUCGUCGCGACUCUAAGAGAUUAGAGUUUUCGGUUCGGCCGGACGAAACACAGGUGCUGCAUGGCUGUCGUCAGCUCGUGUCGUGAGAUGUUGGGUUAAGUCCCGCAACGAGCGCAACCCUCACUUUUAGUUGCCAUCAUUAAGUUGGGCACUCUGAAAGAACUGCCAGUGAUAAGCUGGAGGAAGGUGGGGAUGACGUCAAGUCCUCAUGGCCCUUACGUGUUGGGCUACACACGUGCUACAAUGGUAUCUACAACAGGAAGCAAAACUGCGAAGUUAAGCAAAUCCCUAAAAGAUACCUCAGUUCGGAUUGCACUCUGCAACUCGAGUGCAUGAAGCUGGAAUUACUAGUAAUCGUGGAUCAGCGUGCCACGGUGAAUGCGUUCCCGGGUCUUGUACACACCGCCCGUCACACCAUGGGAGUUGGUUCUACCCUAAGGCAAGGUUUCAAACC
RNAcentral lists this ribosomal RNA (1335 nucleotides) under uncultured Pelagibacterales bacterium. Its description in RNAcentral is "bacterial SSU rRNA". It matches the Rfam family "Bacterial small subunit ribosomal RNA". The record is from RNAcentral. Lineage: Bacteria; Pseudomonadati; Pseudomonadota; Alphaproteobacteria; Candidatus Pelagibacterales.